This 22-nucleotide ribosomal RNA is filed under the name Cokeromyces recurvatus. Its description in RNAcentral is "partial 28S ribosomal RNA". Lineage: Eukaryota; Fungi; Mucoromycota; Mucoromycetes; Mucorales; Mucoraceae. The record is from RNAcentral.
AUCUGAGUCAGGUAAGAGUCCC